This 211-nucleotide unclassified non-coding RNA is filed under the name Hevea brasiliensis (rubber tree). The record is from RNAcentral. Lineage: Eukaryota; Viridiplantae; Streptophyta; Magnoliopsida; Malpighiales; Euphorbiaceae.
AUUCACCCCAUUUUCUGAGAGUUUAGCCAGCGAAAUAAAACUGUGCGUGCUCCCGGAAUCAACCAGUAUCAAGACCUGUAAACCAUUCCAAACUCCACGCAAACGCAUGGACUGAGAAGUUUGUGUUCCUGUGAUGGCAUGUAAAGAAAUUUCUGGGGACGGGUCCAAGUCCAUAUCUUCAUCCGAUUGCAGUUCUUCCGCCAGAUCGAUG